RNAcentral lists this transfer RNA (78 nucleotides) under Pleodorina starrii. RNAcentral describes it as "tRNA-Ala". Lineage: Eukaryota; Viridiplantae; Chlorophyta; Chlorophyceae; Chlamydomonadales; Volvocaceae. The record is from RNAcentral.
GGCCUGUCAGCGUAGCUCAAUUGGAAGAGCACUCGCUUGGCAAUUCGAUGGUCAUGGGUUCGAUCCCAUGCUUGGUCG